Molecule: ribosomal RNA, 253 nt
Filed under: uncultured bacterium
Lineage: Bacteria
Description: partial 16S ribosomal RNA
Rfam family: Bacterial small subunit ribosomal RNA
Source: RNAcentral
UACGUAGGGGGCGAGCGUUGUCCGGAGUUACUGGGCGUAAAGCGCUUGUAGGCGGUCCACCAAGUUUGGGGUGACAGUUGCCGACUUAAUCGGCAAAGUGCCUCAAAGACUGGCGGACUUGAGGGCCACAGAGGGACAUGGAACUCCAGGUGUAGUGGUGAAAUGCGUAGAUAUCUGGAAGAACACCAAUGGUGAAAACAACUUGCUGGGGGUGUGCUGACGCUGAGACACGAAAGCCAGGGGAGCAAACGGG